This 254-nucleotide ribosomal RNA is filed under the name uncultured bacterium. RNAcentral's name for it is "partial 16S ribosomal RNA". It matches the Rfam family "Bacterial small subunit ribosomal RNA", at positions 524 to 776 of the family's 1533-position model. The record is from RNAcentral.
UACGUAGGGGGCGAGCGUUGUCCGGAAUCAUUGGGCGUAAAGCGCGUGUAGGCGGCCCGGUAAGUCCGCUGUGAAAGUCCAGGGCUCAACCCUGGGGAUGCCGGUGGAUACUGUCGGGCUCGAGUCCGGAAGAGGCGAGUGGAAUUCCUGGUGUAGCAGUGAAAUGCGCAGAUAUCAGGAGGAACACCAAUGGCGAAGGCAGCUCGCUGGGACGUGACUGACGCUGAGACGCGAAAGCGUGGGGAGCAAACAGG